UAUCACGUCCUUGAAACAGUUCAAUUCAACACUCGUCUAGCUGAAGUUAUAUCAACCUGAUCUGCUAUACAGGGAAAUGAUGGGUUUUCUCUGCGUUCUCCUCUCUCUGACUGCUUUACAAGUGGAGGGUUUCAGUGGGGGAGGAUCUUCCAUUGCUUCUCAGUGUGGCUCAAUGCUACCUGGUAAUAGUUUUCAUGGCAGCCCAGGGCAGAGCUCUUCCUCACCAUACACUGUCACUGUCAACCAGACCACCUACCAGCCAGGAGACACCAUCCGAGUGACUCUGUCAGGAACCUUCACCUAUAAAGGGUUUCUUCUGGAGGCCCAUGAGGAAGGACAGAACAAGGCUGUGGGAGCAUUCUCUCUCGGCAGUGGGACUGGGAUCAUUCUUGUGCCUUGCAAUGGGAUCGCAGCCUCUGGGGUGAGUCAAAGCAUCAAUCUACCUAGAUCAUCAGUAACAGUCACCUGGACAGCACCAUCCACAUCCUCAUUGGGCAACAUCAUA
This is a long non-coding RNA of Oncorhynchus nerka (sockeye salmon), 505 nucleotides long. RefSeq lists it as uncharacterized. Lineage: Eukaryota; Metazoa; Chordata; Actinopteri; Salmoniformes; Salmonidae. The record is from RefSeq and is a predicted model, not a curated record. The transcript is spliced from 4 exons.